CCUACGGGCGGCAGCAGUGGGGAAUAUUGGGCAAUGGGCGCAAGCCUGACCCAGCAACGCCGCGUGAAGGAAGAAGGCUUUCGGGUUGUAAACUUCUUUUGUCAGGGACGAAGCAAGUGACGGUACCGGACGAAUAAGCCACGGCUAACUACGUGCCAGCAGCCGCGGUAAGACGUAGGUGGCACGCGUUAUCCGGAUUUACUGGGUGUAAAGGGCGUGUAGGCGGGACUGCAAGUCAGAUGGGAAAACCACGGGCUCAACCGGUGGCCUGCAUUUGAAACGGUAGUUCUUGAGUACUGGAGAGGCAGACGGAAUUCCUAGUGUAGCGGUGACAUGCGUAGAUAUUAGGAGGAACCCCAGUGGCGAAGGCGGUCUGCUGGACAGCACCUGACGCUGAGGCGCGAAAGCGUGGGGAGCAAACAGGAUUAGAUACCCGGGUAGUC
Molecule: ribosomal RNA, 443 nt
Filed under: uncultured bacterium
Lineage: Bacteria
Description: partial 16S ribosomal RNA
Rfam family: Bacterial small subunit ribosomal RNA
Source: RNAcentral